Molecule: unclassified non-coding RNA, 200 nt
Filed under: Coniophora sp.
Lineage: Eukaryota; Fungi; Basidiomycota; Agaricomycetes; Boletales; Coniophoraceae
Description: partial internal transcribed spacer 2
Source: RNAcentral
UUAAGUUCAGCGGGUAGUCCUACCUGAUUUGAGGUCAAGUUGUCAAGCAUUUUUUUUCCAGCUGGAAAAAGUUGGACAUAGGUGUUAAAGCAACCAGCCCACAGUGAUCAUUAUCACACCGAAAGGCCAUAUUUCAUGCACACAACCUUUGCCAAUGCAUUUCAGAGGAGCUGACUUUACAGCCAGCAAAGCCUCCACAA